Molecule: transfer RNA, 73 nt
Filed under: Ictidomys tridecemlineatus (thirteen-lined ground squirrel)
Lineage: Eukaryota; Metazoa; Chordata; Mammalia; Rodentia; Sciuridae
Description: Spermophilus tridecemlineatus (thirteen-lined ground squirrel) tRNA
Rfam family: tRNA
About the family: Transfer RNA (tRNA) molecules are approximately 80 nucleotides in length.
Source: Rfam by way of RNAcentral
GGAGACAUAGCUCAAUUGGUAGAGUGUUUGCCUAGCACAUACAAGGUCCUGGGUUCAAUCCCCAGCCCCACCA